AUUGAACGCUGGCGGCAGGCCUAACACAUGCAAGUCGAGCGGAUGAAGGGAGCUUGCUCCUUGAUUCAGCGGCGGACGGGUAAGUAAUGCCUAGGAAGCUGCCUGGUAGUAGGGGAUAACGUCCGGGAACGGGCGCUAAUACCGCAUACGUCCUGAGGGAGAAAGUGGAGGAUCUUCGGGCCUCACGCUAUCAGAUGAGCCUAGGGCGGAUUAGCUAGUUGGUGGGGUAAAGGCCUACCAAGGCGACGAUCCGUAACUGGUCUGAGAGGAUGAUCAGUCACACUGGAAUUGAGACACGGUCAAGACUCUUACGGGAGGCACAAGUGGGGAAUAUUGGACAAUGGGCGAAAGCCUGCUCCAGACCUGCGGCGUGUGUGAAGAAGGUCUUCGGAUUGUAAAGCACUUUAAGUUGGGAGGAAGGGCAGUAAGUUAAUACCUUGCUGUUUUGACGUUACCAACAGAAUAAGCACCGGCUAACUUCGUG
Molecule: ribosomal RNA, 484 nt
Filed under: uncultured bacterium
Lineage: Bacteria
Description: partial 16S ribosomal RNA
Rfam family: Bacterial small subunit ribosomal RNA
Source: RNAcentral